CCUACGGGGGGCAGCAGUGAGGAAUAUUGGUCAAUGGCCGGAAGGCUGAACCAGCCAUGCCGCGUGAAGGUCAGUGCCCUAUGGGCGUUAAACUUCUUUUGUGCGGGAGCAAUAAUGGUCACGUGUGGCCAGACGAGAGUACCGUACGAAUAAGCAUCGGCUAACUCCGUUCCAGCAGCCGCGGUAAUACGGGGGAUGCAAGCGUUAUCCGGAUUUAUUGGGUUUAAAGGGUGCGUAGGCUGUGAGGUAAGUCAGCGGUGAAAUGCCCCCGCUCAACGGGGUGAAGUGCCAUUGAUACUGCCUGGCUGGAAUGCGGAUGCCGUGGGAGGAAUGUGUGGUGUAGCGGUGAAAUGCAUAGAUAUCACACAGAACACCGAUUGCGAAGGCAUCUCACGAAGCCGCGAUUGACGCUGAUGCACGAAAGCGUGGGUAUCAAACAGGAUUAGAUACCCCUGUAGUC
This 460-nucleotide ribosomal RNA is filed under the name uncultured bacterium. RNAcentral's name for it is "partial 16S ribosomal RNA". It matches the Rfam family "Bacterial small subunit ribosomal RNA", at positions 338 to 795 of the family's 1533-position model. The record is from RNAcentral.